GUGCUCACCUCAGCAGCACAUAGACUAAAAUUGGAACGAUACAGAGAAGAUUAGCAUGGCCCCUGAGUAAGGAUGACACGCAAAUUCCUGAAGCGUUCCAUAUUAAA
RNAcentral lists this small nuclear RNA (107 nucleotides) under Phocoena sinus (vaquita). The record is from RNAcentral. Lineage: Eukaryota; Metazoa; Chordata; Mammalia; Artiodactyla; Phocoenidae.